AUCCUUUGGUCGUUCAUAAGCAUGACGAUUGGGCUUUCAUGCUCAUGCAUGAGAUGGGCCUCCCUUCAGUCUUGUUACAGGCCGGCCUCUGUGGCUCAUGCCUGUAAUC
Molecule: small nucleolar RNA, 109 nt
Filed under: Pan troglodytes (chimpanzee)
Lineage: Eukaryota; Metazoa; Chordata; Mammalia; Primates; Hominidae
Description: Small nucleolar RNA U13
Rfam family: Small nucleolar RNA U13
Source: Rfam by way of RNAcentral